Alexandromys fortis (reed vole) is the source of this 5872-nucleotide long non-coding RNA. RefSeq lists it as uncharacterized. The transcript is spliced from 2 exons. The record is from RefSeq and is a predicted model, not a curated record. Lineage: Eukaryota; Metazoa; Chordata; Mammalia; Rodentia; Cricetidae.
CGACAUCUCUGCACUCUGGAGCAGAGACACCAUGAUGGACGGAGGCUAGACUCUUCCCGGGUCGUGGAAACAUUGGACAGUCAAUGGACCUGGACUUCACAGAGUGCAUCCUAAUUUGUGAAGAAAGGGGAGUGAGGGAAGACUGGUAGGAUCCAUUCUGACCUUGUGCUCAAUAUUCAGUUCUCUUACCCCUAUAUUCCAUAUCAAGUGUUCAUGAAGUAUCUGGGGGAACUAUCCCCUUAAAUAACAUCCUUUCUUAUAGCUUGGUCUUGAAAAACCCUUAUUUUCAAGAGUGGUGGGAGAAAUCCCCCAGUCAAUAAUUUAGGCCAACAGAUGCAAUCAGCAAGAGGUGUCUUAUUGAUUGAUUACACCAGGAGCCUAUGGAUGCUGCAGCAACUAAGUUACAAUUAAGUUACUGAGCAUGCCAGGCUGAUGGCACAUCAUGUAUUUAUAAGGAUUUAGGAGUUACAUAAGAGGCUUGCUUGUCUAGCAACAGCAUUUCAUUGGUUCUCAAAUUAGCGGGCUUAGCUCACCCUGGUGACGGCCCUGUGUCUAUUCCCGAAUUUCCCCGAAAAAGCAUAAAGCUAGAUAAAACACCCUCUAGCAGGUUGACAAUUUAGAUAGGAUGUCUUGGAGGGGGUGGAGUAGUCCCAAAAAACACAAAGCUAGAUAGUGCACUCUGCAGCAAGUUUGACAAUUUAGAUAAACUGCCUUAGGGGCUGGAGGAUUCCCUCUUCUUAGCCUAGUCAGUGAGUCUGACUAUAGAUAUCUAGUUUUAGCAUCGGCUGAGCUGAGGGGCCCAGCUAAAUUUCAGCAAAGUUUAACAUAGUACAUGGGUAUGGGGUUCUUUCAAGUAUGGGGGUCUUUCAGUCUAAAUAUGCAAAGGCAACACUAUCUUUGAAAAUAUCCAUUUCCUUAGUUUUCUCUUAAGGCUACAUUUUUAACUUAGAAAGAAACUUCCUAUCAAUAAUAGGCCAGGCUCAGGUUUCCAGAUGGAGUAGAGAAAGGAGUGUUAAAGCAACAAACAUAUUUAUUUUAACUAAGGACUGUCAAGUUGGGAGUGUAGGCUCCAGCCCCUUGCAUGUAUCCCAGACCCAGGCUUGGUCUGGACUCCAAAUCUCAGCAUGCCAGGUCCUGACCUCGUCCUGGGGAUGGGAUCAGGACCACUCCCCAGGGUAUUUAAGUGAUCUCCCAAAAGAAGAGCACGUGGUCUCCCUUUUUUCCUCCCAGGGGUCCAUUCCUGCCCCCUAAGGAGCCAAAUCUCCUAUUAAACCUGGAUAUUUCUUAAUUUGGCUUGUUUUGAUUUGGCUUGGUUGGGAAUUUUUGUGUUGGCAGGGAGCUCAUGUUAGGAAAUAUUCCUAACACGAACUUUAGUAACAAACUAGCAUGACCCCAAACAUUACAUGUUUACAAAGCAAUCUGAGCAAGUCAUCACUCAAGGCUAAAGCAAAGUUCUCCCACCAUGCAAUUGUCCCUGCUAUCAGACAUCACAAAGGUCAAGCAAAUAGGUUCCUACCCCUUCCUUUCACAAAGUGCUAAGUCGUUGUGAAACCUGAUCACAGAAGGACUCACCCUCAGCUUCACUGCUCACUAUGCCAGCAAGGGAAAAUAACCAGCUACCUCAUUCUUGAUUUUGAAGCAAAGAUUGCUCAAGGAAAGUGACUUAGUAUUAAAUGUUUAGCAGGGCAAAUGAAAAUGUUAUAUGCUAAUAGAUAUGGCCAUGGGCAUAAACUGUCCACAUUACAUUAAGCAGAAAAGAUCCUCUGCAGUUGUUACUGAACCAUUCCCAGAAGUAUUACUUAUUUUCUCACGCUGUGAUAGCACCCCUGACAAAAGCACCUGGAGACAAAAGGGUUUCUCUUGACUCCAGCUUCCUUCCCAUUCAGGAAGUAGUGUGAUGAAUGCUGCUUCUCUGCCCCUUCCUCCUUUAUUCCCUCUUCCAAAUAGCACCUUCAUUGCCUUCCUACAGAACCUGUACACAGAAUUAAAGAAACCAGCAUUUUUUUUUUAUGUUCUAUAAGAUCUGGACUGACUUUCAUGACUUAGAGUCCAAGUAAUUCACAUACAUAGUUCAGUUAUUUCAUCUUACUUUAUCCAGUCUUCUUUAUCUUUAUCAAUGUUUUUUUAUUGUUUGAAGAUAAAGCAAUCCUGAAAUAUUCAGGAAUUAAAAUAACCUAGCUGAAUCGUAUGUGUUUUCUACAUUUCAGGGUGGUUCAUUUCCAAUUAUUUCUAAGAAAUUUGAGAAAAAUAAAAUAUAUUGGUUUUUUCUUAAAGUUUAUUUUCCAUUCUAAAUGAUAUUCCUCUUGCCAAAUAUAUCACAGUUACACAUCUUUCAAAUGAGAAUGUGAAGUAGAAAGAUACACAGUGACUACUAGAAACAAAAAUAGGGAUUCUAACUGUGUUGUUUGUGUGAUGCUUACUACUUAUAACAUACAUGUGGCUCAUGUUUUUGUUACACACAAAAAAGCAAUUUAACUAAGGAAAAGUCUUUGUAGAAAUAAAAUACAAAAACAACAUAAUGAAAAUAAAAAAUAGCAUGAAGAAUAUUUACAUAAAAAUAGGAGAUGUGCAAAUUUCUCUAGCAUAUUCACAACCAGAUCUCUAGCCACGGGUUUCAUGGUUAUGGAUUCUAGCUCCCUCAGAUAUAAAGUAUGUUUGAAAAUAAUUACAUUUGGGUCUGGGCAGAUGACUUAAUCAGGAAAACACCUAUAGCACAAGCAUGAGGUCCCAAUCCCCUAUCCUGAGCACACAGCAGAAAGGCCAUACACAUUACUGCAAGCUUGUUGUCCCAGCAUGGGAGACACAGAGAGGAACAGUCCCAAGAUAUUUUAGCAGCCAAUAUAACCAAUCAAUGUGCUCAUAUUUAAUGAGAGGCUCUGCUUAAAUAACAAGCUAGAUAGUGAUUGAGAAAGAAACUCAACGUUGACUUCUGGCAUAUGUACACGUGGACACACACACAAAUAGCCCUAACAUAACUAUGUCCAUAUCAAACAUAAAUGAAUUUAUUCCUGCUUUUCUAUUUCUUUAUCAAUGCAGUACAAGAAUAAUUUUAUAUAGGAAAUGGUAAAUCAUUGGUGUAAAUAGAUCAAGAAGACAUUAGUAAAUGGACAGAUACUCUGGUCUCUUAAACAACCAAAGGUUUUAUAAAAUUUCUCCAAAAAUAAAAGCAUUUUAAGUAUCAUUUAUCAAAACUCUGAAGGCAUUUUUCUUAUAAAAUAUAAAGUCAUCCUUAAAUUCUUAUGGAACCAUGAGUGAUACUUCACUUCGUAUGUAUGGGACUUCAGAAAGUAUGUAUAGGGGUGAAGACCCUCCAGUGAGGGGAGACUCUCACUCAAUUCUCAGGAUAACACAACCCCACCCCCCACCCCGCAGUAACUCACGACAGACCGUCCUUGUUGCAAUCACAAGAGGUUUAUUCGACAAGACAGGAACCAAUACACUGGAGCCAAGACUCAUAACCCAUGCAGGGGAGGAGUUCAACCCCAAGUAACUGGGAGAAGGGGUAUUUAAAAGAAGAAACCACAGCCCAGUAAUCCAAAGGGGGAAGGGAGGGCAUCAUAAAAACUUCCAAAAAUACCAGUGAUGCUCACAAGGGGGCAACUCCCUGUUUCUCAAGAUUAUAAUCAGCUAGUUCCUGAAACAGAAUAUUCCAAAAGGAGACUCCCUGUAUCUCAAGAUUUCAAUCUAACUUUAUCUUCAGCUAGUUCCUGAAACAGAGUCACUGAACCAGCUAAUCCUAGAUUUCUGAUUCUUCUCUCUCUGCUUAGAUUUUUGGGUCUAUUUUUUCCUACUAGGGUGUCUGGAUUUAUCCAGGUCUUUCAGGGGCUAUUGCAGACUUAUGUAGACACUGGAAUGGGUCCUGGCUUAGUUGAUUCAUAAAACUGUGUUUUUCUGGUGUCCUCCAUGCCCUCUGACUCUUAACAUUGUUCCACCUCCUCUUUUGCAGGAUUCCCUAAGCUCUGGUUGGAGACAUUUAAUAGAGGCUUCUCAUUUAGACUCUUUCUCAGUAUAAUGUCUGAGUGUAGGUCUCCUCCACAUCUCUUCCCAUCUGCUGCCAGAGGAAGCCUCUCUAAUAAUGACUAGAUAAGGCACAGAUCUAUGAGUAUACCAGAGUAUCACUGGGAAUUAUUUCAUUGUUUUAUUUGAGAUCAGUUAUGUUUGGGUUUACCCUAGAUCUCUGGGCUAUUUAGUCUCUGGUUCUUGACUACACAAACAUCUGUUCUUAGAUAUAUAAACAGUAUUGAGCAUGGAUUUCUUCUUGCUCAAACAAACAAACAAAAAUAGUAGCCCUCCAAUAUACAAAUGACAAACGGACUGAGAAUGAAAUCAGAGAAACAGUAUCUUUCAUGGUAGCCUCAAAUAAUAAAAAUAUAUUAGGGUAAUGCUAACCAAGAAAGAGGAAGACUUACAUGAUAUAAACUUCAAGUUUUUGAAGAAGAUAACAAAAAAUAGAAUAGUAUCUCAUGCUCAUGGAUCGGUAGGAUUAACAUAGUAAAAAAUUACCGUCCUACUAAAAGCAAUCCAUGGAUUUAAAGCAAUCCUUAUUAAAAUACCAAAAGAAUUUUUUAUAGAUAUUGAAAAAACAAGAAACAUAGGAUAACUAAAACAAUCCUGAGUAAUAAAAUAUUUGCUGAGAGUUUCACCUUCCCUGAUUUCAAGCUAUACUACAGAACUAUAGCAGUAAAAACCACAUAAUAUUGGCAUGGAAAACAAAUUAUAGAGUCAUUUGAGUCCAUAUACCCAUGGACUCCUGAUUCUGAUGAAGACACCAUAAAUAUAUACUGGAAAAGAACAUCUUCAAAAAUGGUGCUGCUGAAACUAUAUGUGUGCUUGUAGAAGAAUGCAAGUAGAUCCACACAUAUCACCCUGCAUCAAACUCAAAUCCAAGAGGAUCAAAGACCUCAUCAUAAACCAGAUACAUUGAAUAUGAUAAAAGUGAAAGUGGGUAAUAACCUUGAGUAUUUUGGCACAGGAAAUGGCUUUCUGAAAAAAAAUACUGAUAAUUCAUGCAUUGUGAUCGAUGAUUAAUAAAUGGGACCUCAUAAAACUGAAAAGCUUCUGUAAGUGAAAGGACAUUAUCAAAAGGACAAAACAGCAGCCUACAGAAUGUGAAAAGAUUUUUACUAACUCUGUAUCUGAUGGAUUAAUAUCCAAAAUACAAAAGGAACUCAAAUACUAGAUAUCAAAAACCAAAUAAUCUAAUUUUAAAAUGGGACACAUUUCUAAAUAAAGAAUUCUCAAUAGAGAAUCUCAAAUGGCUUGAAAAUAUGUAAAGAAAUGUUCAGCAUCCUUAGCCAUCAGACAAAUGCAAAUCAAAACUCUUUUUUGCUUUCUUGAGACUGGGUUUUUCUGUGUAACAUCCUGGAUGUACUAUAGCUCUCUUAGACCAGGAUGGCCUCAAACUCACAGAGAUGGGCCCACCUCUGCCUCCCAAGUACUGGGAAUAAGGGUGUGUACCAACACCACCUGGCUGCAAAUCAAACUCUUUGAGAUUCCAUCUUACACUUGUUAGAAUGACUAAGAUCAAUAAAACAAUUGACAACACAUGUUGGUGAGGAUGUAGAACAAGUUAAACAGUCCUUCACUGAUGGUGAGAGCAAAAUACUUCUUUAAUGACUACAGAAAUCUAUAUGAUAGUUUUUUGGAAAUUGGGUACCAAACUACCUCAAGUCCGAGCUAUAUCACUUUUCUGCAUAUACCCAAAGGAUGGUUUAUCCUUUCACAGAGACACUUGUGUAACCAUGUUCACUGUGGGCUUAUUCAUAAUAUAAAGAAAUUGACAACAGCCUUGAUUAACCUUCAAGAUAAAAAUGGAUUAAACAUGAGAUAUAUUUACACAAUGAAGUACUUCUCCGUUCUUUUUUUUUUUUUU